CCCUUUCCUUCCUGUUGCUGGGAUUGAGACGUAAUGGCUGGAAGUCAGCAGCCGUCUUGCACCACAGAUGAACCUGGAAGUAGAAACCAUACAGCGUAGAUCAAGAAGAUGGGAGGGCCCAGGUCCUGCACACAGUCCUGAAAUGACCACCUGUGAAUUUCUUGAAGGGAAAACCUCAGAAGGGGCUGCGGGCUCAGCCGUGGUGACCCAGGAAAACUUCCCUGAGGAGGUGGCCUGAUGGCCCAGUGGUCGGGGUGGCGUGGCCAGCGUGGCCUGCUGGCUCUGGCCACCGGAUGCAAUGCUGUGCUGAGCACUGAGAGCGGACACUCCCAGCAUCUCCGUGGAGAACUCCGGUUCCCCCACGGACUGCGUUCAGCUCCCAGCAGACAGGCGUUGAGCGGCCUGGGCACAGGACGGGAGGGGAGGAUGCCCAGCCAGCCGGGCAGGAGGCUGGCAUUGGGGACCAUCCGGGCUUCCACGGGCUUGGUGCCAGCUGAAUGCUUCGCAUCCCUGCACCACAGAUGCGGGAAGCGCUGAUGCCCCAUUCGUUUCAGGUGAGAGGAAAGAGGCUUUGGGCUGGACCUUCCACCAGGGCGCCCGGCCUGGGGGUCUCAGGUGGGAGCUGACACCCUGCCUGGCCUCGGCUCACCCCUGAGGGCUGGUGAGUUUGCCUUCAGAAGGUGAAGCAGGGAGGCCGUGAGGCACCGCUUGGGGCCAUACACCCUUCCCACAGCAGGGGCCUCGCUCGCAGUACCCCCAGGUCUCUCCUGGAGACUUGAACGUCAGAGAGAGGGGCAUCUGGACCCCAGCAGGGUCUCCAUCACACACUGACUGCACCUCGUCUGCUGCUGGGGCCGAAUGCUGACGGGCCAUGUGGACACUCGCCCCCAGUCCAUGCCGGAGAAACAAGCCGACGCAUCACCCUCCCCUGUGAGCCAACCUGCAGGGCAACCAGGGAGCGGAGGCAGCUCAGAAGGCUGUCAGUAGGAGAACGGAGCCAUGAGUUGUGGAAAAUCCACACAGUGCCGCUCUAGGAGCAGUUAAAGAACCCUGAGACCCUUAGUAAGACUGGGCAAAGAAGGCGGACAUGAGGCAAUUCCUACUGUGUGUGGUGCAUUUACAUGAAGUUCAGGGACGGGGGGUAUGAGUGCUGGGAGCACGGGAACGACACGUCUUGUUCUGGGCAGUGUGUGUAUAUUUGUGUAUGGAGGUUACAUGUAAGGGACGAGGUGCCUCUCCCUGACGGCCACGGCCUGGCCCUGGGUGCCUGGCGGCCCCACCCCACCCCUCCAAGGCCCUGUCGGCCAGGUCACUGGACCCGCAGAGCCUGGACAGGAAUCUAUACUUCAGUUGUCCCCUGGGAACUUGGGGGAAAAGCCAGCGGUGGGUGCAUUCCUGGCGAUGCCAGGAUGCCCUCCCGCCCGAAGCUUUGUGACAGCUCCCGGAGGCCUGGGGCCCCUGUGGGGACACUCGCGCCCUCGUCCCCCACUCACCUGUAGCAACAGUACCAGGAGGUGUUGAGCGGAAGGUCCGGGAAACUGCCCAGACAUGACACUCCCCGCCCCACUCUGCUCCAGGGAUGGACUCAGGAGCCCAGUCAACACUCCCUGGAGUCCUGCCCUUGGGAAGGGGCCUGUUCUCAUAACAGCAGGGGCUGCCGAAUGGUCUCCGCGGUGAGUUACCACCAGCAUCGCCUCACGGAACUGCCUCCUCCGUGUGUGGCGAGAACAUUUAAGAUCGACUCUCUCAGCGGCUUUCCGGGGGUGCAUGCAGCUCUUUACCCAGAGGUAGGACUGCUGGAUCUUAUGGUAUUUCUGUGUAUUUCUUGAGG
Molecule: long non-coding RNA, 1831 nt
Organism: Leptonychotes weddellii (Weddell seal)
Lineage: Eukaryota; Metazoa; Chordata; Mammalia; Carnivora; Phocidae
Source: RefSeq, a predicted model, not a curated record